This is a long non-coding RNA of Pseudopipra pipra, 642 nucleotides long. RefSeq lists it as uncharacterized. The transcript is spliced from 2 exons. NCBI's taxonomy places the organism in Eukaryota, Metazoa, Chordata, Aves, Passeriformes, Pipridae. The record is from RefSeq and is a predicted model, not a curated record.
GUGGGGCUCUGGGCUCAGCAUGGCAUGAGGUCCUACCUCCUUAAAAAAAAAAAUUAUUCUGAUUUAUUGCAUGUUUUUUCAGGGACUUAAAGUGAUAAACCCCUACUUUCAUAGAGCUUCGAUAUUUUCCUAAUGACUUAAUUGUCCCAAAAGCAUCUCCAACUAAAAGGAAGUAUCCAAAAUUGUUACCUACUAAAGAUGAAAGAAAGUGAUCAUCGAGUUGUAAGAAUCUCCUCGAGAUUUGCAGACAUCAAGAUUCAUUCCAGGGAAUUUUCCUAAGGAGAGACAAAUCUUCCUGUGUAGUAUCUGCCGUGAGCCUGGCUUCCUUGGGACACAUCUCCUGCCAGCCUGGCAGCACCACUGCCCAAGGGUGACAGUGCUCCCUCCCUGGGAACAGCCACCAAUCUUACCAAAACAGCAAGUUUUAGUAAAAAACGCUCUUCUGCACAGCUGGGAGCCUUGGGAAUGAAGCCCCAGCCUCCACAGACAGGGAGAGAUGAAGAGCCCCUUAAUUUGAGCCUUCUCCUUGGUGUUGACUUGCCCAAAGGAGGAGUCUGGGGCGACCAGGCUCUCCAGGGAUGUCAGCAUUCCAUGGCCCAAGUGUAAUACAUUCUACUAAUACAGGGUAAGGAAUACUAGAAA